RNAcentral lists this ribosomal RNA (255 nucleotides) under uncultured bacterium. Its description in RNAcentral is "partial 16S ribosomal RNA". It matches the Rfam family "Bacterial small subunit ribosomal RNA", at positions 118 to 353 of the family's 1533-position model. The record is from RNAcentral.
UAAACAACCUGCCUUCAGGAUGGGGACAACAGACGGAAACGACUGCUAAUACCGAAUAAGUUCCAAGAGCCGCAUGGCCCAUGGAAGAAAAGGUGGCCUCUACUUGUAAGCUAUCGCCUGAAGAGGGGUUUGCGUCUGAUUAGCUGGUUGGAGGGGUAACGGGCCCACCAAGGCGACGAUCAGUAGCCGGUCUGAGAGGAUGAACGGCCACACUGGAACUGAGACACGGCCCAGACUCCUACGGGAGGCAGCAUG